AUGCAGCCCACCACAGACGCCAUAGCAGAUGACCCAGCAGGGACUCAGGCGGGCUGCCUCCCGUGUGUCCUGUCCUCAUGGCCCUUGGUGGCCUUGACCACUCCUGUGCCCUGUGACCUCAUCCCCACGCACACGUUCCGUCACCUCCUAGGAGACGGUGCCAAAUGCUGGGCUCUGCCCUCUCUUCCUCGCUGGGCUCCAGUCUGUGAAACCAGAGAAGAUAAAGGAGGCAAACUGAGGCGUUUCCCCAUUGUGAAGCAGGCACUACGUUCUGGAGAAGAGAGGAACCAAAACAGGAACUUACAGGCGUGGCUGUCGCCAGUAUCAUCAGGACGGCAAAGACUGGAUUUUCAGGGACACCCAAGUGUGCAAGUCCUUCGCGGGGCUGGGUUUCCAGAUGCUCCUCUGAGUCUCUCUAUGACACGGGAGACGCGGUCACAGAUCCGCUGCCAUGUAUGCGCCAGUAGACACCGCUUGCAGUAUCUGUUGCCUUUAGUGCUAACAUGACACACUCGCUUGCAGACUAAUAAAAUCGGAGGAGUUAUUAUUCCUGUAAAGCGCAAACAUAUCUGAGGUACCCACUUAAUGACACUAUAGAACAAAUUGCUUUCAAUGACACUUUUUAAUUGGACUGAACUAACAGCUUCGUAAUAUGUUGCAAUAAGAAUAUUAGGAUGAUUAACAGAUCUGAAAACUCUCGCGAAAUUAAAUGAUUAAACAUAAUGCUGACUCAAUGCACAGGCCACGUGGAUUAAUCAGUUGAGGGCCUCGGCAAAGGAUGGCGUAGCUAAACACGUAGCACGAUGCGCACACGCCUGGCUUCCCGCCCCUGAGUGCCGUCCACCGCUCCCUCCCCGCUGCUCCUCGGUGAGUGGCUCCUUCUGCCAAUCCAGGAAUGUGCUGGGGCUUUAGCAAGUGUGAGUGUUACGUGCGCUGCUGCUUCUAGGAAAACACAUAUUCCUGUGGCUAUGAGCUUCCCAAAAUGGCCAGGCAGUUCUUUCCCGGUCCUUGCUUUGAACUGAAAUGGAAGUUUAAAGGGCAGAAAUCAUAAUUCUGGCUUUCAGUCUGAUUAUAGAACUGACCUUCCUGCCUUCCUUUCCUUUCCGAUGUCUGUUUCCCCAUUAACCCCCUCAUCUCGGCGUGUCCGUGUUCCCUGGGUAAUCCAGCAGACUGUUUUUGCAGUGCUGGGGACGGAACCGUGGGCUUCACACGUGCUCGUCUUACGCUCGACCACUGAAUGCGCUCAGCCCAAGGUCUGGAUUCUAAAGCAGCGUGGCUAAAGCUAGCAGCUCCAGGGAGAAAGGGAGGUGUGUCCUGUGUCCCUCGUUCUCUCCUCCACCACUGGCCACCGAGCCAGCUCCCUGCACGCGUCCCUUGGGUGACCUAGAAAACUGAGUGACGUCCUCACAAAGCUGCCCACACCUGCGCAGGGACCGCACGUGCCCUUUCCUUUCUGAUCAUAUACAUCUUUCGUGCCCAAGUUGCAGUCAUAAUUAGUUGCAUAAAAAUUCAAAAUACGAUUCAGGCUGUUAUGAGAAAAC
RNAcentral lists this long non-coding RNA (1541 nucleotides) under Fukomys damarensis (Damara mole-rat). RNAcentral describes it as "lncRNA (ENSFDAG00000030420.1)". Lineage: Eukaryota; Metazoa; Chordata; Mammalia; Rodentia; Bathyergidae. The record is from RNAcentral.